RNAcentral lists this small RNA (76 nucleotides) under Parvimonas sp. oral taxon 393 str. F0440. RNAcentral describes it as "dfrA-dnaX RNA". It matches the Rfam family "dfrA-dnaX RNA". Lineage: Bacteria; Bacillati; Bacillota; Tissierellia; Tissierellales; Peptoniphilaceae. The record is from Rfam by way of RNAcentral.
GCGCCUAAUGGCAAGGCUACUUAUAUUUCAUCAUAACUACCAUAGAAAAAGUAUCGUAAAGGAGUUAUGAUAUAAU